ACCCAGCUGACGAGUCCAAAAUGGGGCGAAAUGCAUGUCCUGGAU
Molecule: non-coding RNA, 45 nt
Organism: Schistosoma curassoni
Lineage: Eukaryota; Metazoa; Platyhelminthes; Trematoda; Strigeidida; Schistosomatidae
Source: Rfam